Molecule: ribosomal RNA, 405 nt
Filed under: uncultured bacterium
Lineage: Bacteria
Description: partial 16S ribosomal RNA
Rfam family: Bacterial small subunit ribosomal RNA
Source: RNAcentral
GACGAACGCUGGCGGCGUGCUUAACACAUGCAAGUCGAGCGGAGCGGCGAACGGGUGCGUAACGCGUUAGUAACUGCCCCCCUCUCUGGGAUAACAGUUGGAAACGGCUGCUAAUACCGGAUAGUGGGGGAUGCCUCGCGUCCUAGCAGCUUGUUGGUGGGGUAGUGGCCUACCAAGGCGACGCCGGGUAGCCGGCCGGAGAGGGCGACCGGCCACAUUGGGCUGAGAUACGGCCCAGACUCCUACGGGAGGCAGCAGGUGGGAAUAUUGCACAAUGGGGGAAGCCCUGAUGCAGCAACGCCGCGUGCGGGAUGACGGCCUUCGGGUUGUAAACCGCUUUCAGCCAUGACGCGGUAGUGGCAGAAGAAGCACCGGCUAACUACGGGCCAGCAGCCGCGGUAAUUC